RNAcentral lists this ribosomal RNA (446 nucleotides) under Kingella oralis. RNAcentral describes it as "bacterial SSU rRNA". It matches the Rfam family "Bacterial small subunit ribosomal RNA", at positions 30 to 470 of the family's 1533-position model. Lineage: Bacteria; Pseudomonadati; Pseudomonadota; Betaproteobacteria; Neisseriales; Neisseriaceae. The record is from RNAcentral.
AUUGAACGCUGGCGGCAUGCUUUACACAUGCAAGUCGAACGGCAGCACGAAAGAGCUUGCUCUUUUGGUGGCGAGUGGCGAACGGGUGAGUAAUGCAUCGGAACGUACCGAGUAAUGGGGGAUAACUAUCCGAAAGGAUAGCUAAUACCGCAUACGCUUUGAGAAGGAAAGUGGGGGCUCUUCGGACCUCACGUUAUUCGAGCGGCCGAUGUCUGAUUAGCUAGUUGGUGGGGUAAAGGCCUACCAAGGCGACGAUCAGUAGCGGGUCUGAGAGGAUGAUCCGCCACACUGGGACUGAGACACGGCCCAGACUCCUACGGGAGGCAGCAGUGGGGAAUUUUGGACAAUGGGCGCAAGCCUGAUCCAGCCAUGCCGCGUGUCUGAAGAAGGCCUUCGGGUCGUAAAGGACUUUUGUUAGGGAAGAAAAGGAUAGUGUUAAUACCAUU